RNAcentral lists this ribosomal RNA (254 nucleotides) under uncultured bacterium. RNAcentral describes it as "partial 16S ribosomal RNA". It matches the Rfam family "Bacterial small subunit ribosomal RNA", at positions 524 to 776 of the family's 1533-position model. The record is from RNAcentral.
UACGUAGGGUGCAAGCGUUAAUCGGAAUUACUGGGCGUAAAGCGUGCGCAGGCGGUGAUGUAAGACAGGUGUGAAAUCCCCCGGGCUUAACCUGGGAACUGCAUUUGUGACUGCACGGCUGGAGUGCGGCAGAGGGGGAUGGAAUUCCGCGUGUAGCAGUGAAAUGCGUAGAUAUGCGGAGGAACACCGAUGGCGAAGGCAAUCCCCUGGGCCUGCACUGACGCUCAUGCACGAAAGCGUGGGGAGCAAACAGG